Molecule: transfer RNA, 72 nt
Filed under: Anaeromyxobacter diazotrophicus
Lineage: Bacteria; Pseudomonadati; Myxococcota; Myxococcia; Myxococcales; Anaeromyxobacteraceae
Rfam family: tRNA
About the family: Transfer RNA (tRNA) molecules are approximately 80 nucleotides in length.
Source: Rfam by way of RNAcentral
GGCCCCUUAGUCUAGUGGUUAGGACGUCGGCCUCUCACGUCGAAGACAUGGGUUCAAGUCCCGUAGGGGUCA